GACGAACGCGGGCGGCGUGCUUAACACAUGCAAGUCGAACGGAGCGAAUGAAAGCUUGCUUUUAUGAGCUUAGUGGCAAACGGGUGAGUAACACGUAGACAACCUGCCGAUCAGAUGGGGACAACAUUCCGAAAGGAAUGCUAAUACCGAAUGGCGUGGAGGGAAGGCAUCUUCCUUUCAUGAAAGAUGGCCUCUAUUUAUAAGCUAUCACUGAUCGGUGGGUCUGCGUCUGAUUAGCUGGUAGGUAAGGUAACGGCUUACCUAGGCGACGAUCAGUAGCCGGUCUGAGAGGAUGAACGGCCACAUUGGGACUGAGACACGGCCCAGACUCCUACGGGAGGCAGCAGUGGGGAAUCUUCCGCAAUGGGCGCAAGCCUGACGGAGCAACGCCGCGUGAGUGAAGAAGGUCUUCGGAUCGUAAAGCUCUGUUGAAGGGGACGAACGAUCGAGGGGCGAACAGGCUCUCGGUAUGACGGUACCUUU
Molecule: ribosomal RNA, 483 nt
Filed under: Centipeda artemidis
Lineage: Bacteria; Bacillati; Bacillota; Negativicutes; Selenomonadales; Selenomonadaceae
Description: bacterial SSU rRNA
Rfam family: Bacterial small subunit ribosomal RNA
Source: RNAcentral